GCCCUCUGACCCGGAAGUGCACGCUGUCCUCGGCACCCUGUGGUAAAACACAACGGUGAGGAAACUAACGCUAGAAUUCACCGUAAACACAAGGUUCUCCAGUUGCUGCUCCACAAAACAAGGCACAAGGUUCUGGAGUAACUGGGGGUCGGGCAGCAGCUCUGGGGGAGAUAGUUUGACGACGGUUCGGGUCGGGACACUUCCUCAAUGCCCCCCCAUCCCCAUCAUUGUCAUCCCUUCUUUCUUCAGCCUGAAUAUCAAAGCUGCCAACAUGUCAAGGGACAGCUGAUUAAAUUCAGGAUCAGUGAUGGUGUCAUGAUGGAAAACAAUUAUUCUACAAAAAAUUCAAUCAAAAAACAAAACUUGCGAAGGAUGUUGUUACUGAGAAACAGGAAUGAUUUUUCAAAAAUGAAAACUUACAAAGUAAAGACAUGUUUAUAAACAAUUCUUAAUCUUUGGGGUGAAAUAUGACAGUAAAUCAGCAUGUCAUUUGCACAUUAAUCAAUGAAAACAAAAAUCUAGUGGGGUGUAAUAUGUGAUAAUAAUUCUCUAUCGGGUUUGACAUUACUACUAAUGUUGAAUUUCACCCUCUUUCUUCCAUGAUCAAUGGUGACCUGAUUUGCCCGGUUACUUUGGGCAUCCAACAUACUAGAAAAUUCAGGUCCACACUAGAAGCAAAUUACAUUUCAAAUUACUAUUAGCAGAACUAUUUGUCCAAAGUUACCCCUAAGGUGAUAUUUGUAUUACACUAAAUUAGCUUUUCCCUCAUCCUAGAGCAACUUAGGCCUUAUGGUUGGCAAACCUCACUGACGAUUGGUUGUGCAACCUUGCAGAAAAUAAGCUUCAUAUAACUUUUUAAAAGAAUCAUUGAAUGGUACAUUCUUGUGCUUGACAGAGCAUGUGUUUAUAACUUUUUUUAAUCAAGGUGGUUGUUAGUUAUUUUACAGAAACAAUUUAAAUGCAAUAUUAAAGAAGAA
Long non-coding RNA from Amblyraja radiata (thorny skate), 977 nucleotides. RefSeq lists it as uncharacterized. The record is from RefSeq and is a predicted model, not a curated record. The transcript has 2 exons. Lineage: Eukaryota; Metazoa; Chordata; Chondrichthyes; Rajiformes; Rajidae.